GUAGAGCAGGACAGUUACCUCCUGUGUCUUACAUAAAACACUCCUGCUAAUGCUGUUAGAGGUGCAAAAUCUUUGUGUAGACAAGUCCUACGAAUCCUGGGAAAAGUCCUGUGCCAACUCAGGAGAUGACUGUGCUACAGAGACUGUACUGGCUUAGCUAUGCCAGCGUAGCUCCAGAGCGUAGCUGCAUCCAACACUGACAAAAGAAAUUGUAGGAACACCACUUCCUUGGGCAACGGAAACAUUCUUCGGUUGACUUAGCUGUGUCUAUGCGGAGGGUUUUGUUGGGUUGCUGAGGAGUGUAGUUUUUUCACACUCCCGAUAGACAUAGCUACGCUGAAAUAACUUUCAAGUGGAGGUGAAGUCUAGGAAAACAAGCCAUGUUUGAAAAUGUGUUAGCUAGCAUGUUUUCAAACAUGGCCUCUCUUCCUGCUGUAGACACAUUUUAACCCCUUUAAAAACUUGUUAGUUGGUCAUGAUCCACUCCUGGGGGGCUGGGGAGAAUGGGAAACUUUCGGGGUUUGGCCUAAGAGGAGAAAUACGGGUUACGUUCAGUGUUACAAGGGUUAAUUGUAUCCCUCAGUAUGCUCUCCUGAUUUGUAACCCUGGCCAUCACAAACUGAAAAGAGGGAGGCGGUGUGAGUCAGCAGACCUGGAUUCUGUUCCCACCUCUACCGCUAACCUGCGGUGCGACCUUGGAUAGAUCGAUAAUUCUCGUUUUACAUUCUCCUCCGAUUCAUGUGGCGAUUGGGUCAUUGUACAGAUUCCUUUAAAAAGUAACUACCUUGCAAUGACUAAAAAAAAAAUCUUGCUAAUUUCCAUCCUUUUAGGAGUGACUGUUGAUCAUUUCCUGUCUCAGCCACAUAAUCACAUUAUUUUGAUCGGAGUGGAAGUGUGCUCAAGCAUUUUUUCAGUAUAAGGAAUGGGGAGAGGACCAUGAAGAGACCACACCUGCAAUUUCAGGCUUCCAGAUGCUGGGAAUUCUUUGAGGACUUGCAUCAUAUGCUGAUGCCCAAGGAACACUGAGCAAGGCAUUGGGAAUAAUGAAGGCUUUUAAUGUACUGCAAUAUAUUGCUUCAAUGAGGAGAGGAUUUUUGCCACAUUAUACAGCAGUGAAACUCGUUCCACCACUGACAGCCAAAAAAAGUCUCACCUUUUUUCCGAGACAGCCAUUACCUCCAGCUAGAAUUUUUAUAUGCAAAUUAAGGUAGCAGCAGCAGAAACAGUCAUAUGGAGAACCAAAGACCAUUUGGGGCAUUCCUUUCUAGCACUAACUGGAGCAUGGUUCAGAUAACUAUUUUUGUCUUCUGUCCUACACUCGGGACUUGUAUUCUGGCUCUUUGAGCAAUUCUCAGAACCUUUUUACCUAUGAUUUAUGGUACUUAUUAUUCCCAUGGCAAAGGAAACCCACGAUGAAGAAUCUAAAAUGUUGGAAAUUCCAAUUAAUGGAUCUUCUGUGCAACCUGUGGAGCUCCUUGCCAAAUGAUGAUGUGAAGGCCAAGACUAUAACAAGGUUCAAAAAAGAACUAGAUAAAUUCAUGGAGGACAGGUUCAUCAAUGGCUAUUAGCCAGGAUGGGCAGGGAUGGUAUCCCUAGCCUCUGUUUGCCAGAAGAUGGGAAUAGGCGACGGGAUGGAUCACUUGAUGAUUACCGGUUCUGUUCAUUCCCACCUUUCCUUUUGGACCCCUAGAGCUCGUCUCCUCAGAGUUGCAGUUGAACUAGAAGUGUGGCCUUAAUCCUAUGUAGCUAAACCUGUGCAAAUUCUCUCUUGUGUUGGAGUGGCUUAGUUUAAGGUGAUGAGGAGCUGAGCUACAAGAUGACACUUCCACUGAAAUAUGAGAGAGUGCCCGUGUAAGGGUUUGUCUGGGUUUAACUAAGCCAGUGCAAGUUUGUGGGGAGACAAGGCCUAAUACACACAGCGUCUUCCUUACAUUCCUUUGUGAAACUCUUGCAGCAAACAAGUGGAUCCAAGGCUGUCUGUAGUGUCUUUUCCCCGCCAACAUUUCACCCACUGCAGGUCUGGAUGGGAGUGCCAACUGGACCAGCCACUGGCAUAUCAACCACCAGGUCAUCUAAUGCUGCUCGGAGCAAGGCUAGACCAAGUGGUGUCUAAAAUGCUGGUAGCCACUAGAGCACUGCCUACAAACCAGCACUCCAUCGUUGCUGCCAGUGGUGCCACUGUGCUCAUGGUAGCAACAGUGGGAAAUUUUAGGGCAAAAGGACUGGCUUGGACAAGGCCAAAGGAUAACACAGGAUAUGGCAGGAUAAUAUCAGGACUCCAAGACUUAGAGAAUGUUCUAAUGAGUAUUGAAAAAUAUACUGUACUCUGGGCAUGGUCCAAUCACACUGAGGUUGCUCUGGCAAAGUUUGAUAAUUGUUUUUUAGUGUAGAAUUAUCAGUCAGAGUGGGGUAGGUAGGGCAGCAAGCCUGUUAGGGCUUUUAUCUUCCCAGAACCUGGGAACAAAGAACACGGGAGAGGAAACCGGGUUGGCCAGUUGUGGGGGGUUGUGCAUUUAUCGGUCUGGGAGUUCAAAGAAAAAGGAUGCAACAGUCAAAUACACAAAUGUAUCUGGGGGUCAACUGAUAAGUUGCAUUUCAAAGCAAAAGACAAUCUUAAAGAGACAGUGCCGAGUAGCUGAGGCCUAGAACGUUAGUUUUUGUUUAAAAAAAAAAAAGAGAGAGAGAGAGAGAGAGAGGGAGGAUUUCACAAAAACUAAUAUCAACAGAAAUGGUUUCUCUGUGGUUUGACACAUUCCAGACAUGCCAUGACUCUUCCUGUCAAGGAUGAGCAGUCUCUGGUUUUUGCAGUGUAUUUGUUAGUUUCAAGCCAGUUCUCUUUAUCCACAGUCUUUCAGUGUAGCUCACUGGUCCCUGCUUUUCCACUCCAAAUGAUGCUCAUGCUGGUGCCAAAUGACAUGACGGGAAUAUUGUGCUGGAUCAUGGAAAACAGAAAAUGAAAGCCAGUUUCACUGCCCCAGCUGAACGAAAUAGCAGAAACCAAAUAGCUUUAAAUGGGGAAAAGUGAGAGCUACAAAAUUAUUCCUGUGUCAGUAAUGGAAGAGGUGUUAUGAUUAUAUGCCUAGCGGGUAGAAUUCUACUUUAAUGCACAGCGCUUGAUUCCUCAUUGUCUUGGACUUUGUGCUGUCCUGGGCACUCAUUUUGCAUGGGGGUGAAUGACUGUUCUGGGUGAAGAAUGUGACCCACAUUGAGAUUUUAACUCUUGGUGGUGCUCUAACUCUUGGUUUCUCAGAACAUUCAAAGACAUGGUGCCUUAGGCUUUGUUUAUGCUCAAAAAGUGGUGCUGAUUUUACUAUCCCGGUAUGAACUAUUAAUCCCUGUAGUGGGGAUGCGGUUAUAAUGGCAUCCAGCAUCUUUGCUAUCCAUGCUAGGAGUUGUACUGUAACAAAUUGCUUAAAAAUAAAUCCCACCACUCACCGACAUAGUUAUACCUGUUCAAAAACUGGGUGUAGACUUGGCUUGAGUGAAGUACUCAUCCACAGCUUUAGCUGGGACAAUUUGCCUGGCCCCUGAAGCAGGGCUCUUGCAGAAGAGCCCGUAGAACUAACCGCCUGUCUACACACACAAGUUACACUUGUUUAACUUAAAUCUGUUUAAAAACCAAUUGAGUAAAACUGGUGCAACCCCCGGCAUUGACACGCUUAUGUUAGCUUCAAAUGGGUUGUAUCAGGUUAGCUUGCAUUUAGCCAGGUUUAAAUAAACUUAGGAGUGUCCCAACGCAAAGUUGCACCUGUUAAAAAACAUAUCUGUAAUUAUAUGUGUGCAACUUUGUGUGUAAACCAGGCCUAAUAGACCUUGUUGUCUGGUGCAAGUAGGAAAGGGGUACUAUGUGGGUGUCUGUCCCACAGGCUGGGGUAACCUCUCUUAUAUGGCCUCCAUCACGUAGUAUUUGAGUACUUCACAAAGCCUCUAUGAGGUGGGGAAGUGCUAGUGUCCCCAUUUUACAGAUGGGAAGACUGAGGCUUGUCCAAGGUCACACAGGAAGUCUGUGGUGGAGCAGGGAACUGAAGCUGAGGCUCCCAAGUCCCCUGGACCAUCCUUCCCUUCCAAGGAGUAUGAUGGAGUACAUAGAACUUCUUUGUGUCUCAGACUAAUAAUUGUCUUCCCAAUUUCAUAGAUUCAUAGAUACUAAGGUCAGAAGGGACCAUUCUGAUCAUCUAGUCCGACCUCCUGCACAGCGCAGGCCACAGAAUCUCACCCACCCACUCCUACAAAAAAACUUUCCUCUCCACGAUGAAGUCUGGCUAAGUCCUAGCAGUGAGUGCAGACACAGAUUGUGGGGUGGGAAAUGGAGGGCCAGGCAGUCUCUGCCUGAAAGCAGCAAUAAAAGAAAUGUUCUGUAGGAAUUAACUCUCUGGUUUCUUUUUAUUUUAUUAAACGUGACUGGCUAUCACGUGCUCAAAAAAGGGGAACGCAAGGAAGAGACAUUAACCCAUGGAAACUUGAAUUCCCACCCCACCCCUACAGAUGAGGCAUGUGGGUGCAGCAACAUAGAGAUGGGGGAAUUUGCUCUACACUUGCCCUGGCUGUAGGUCUGUGGAUCGAGAGAACUUUGACCAUCAGUUUAAAAAGUUUUAAAGAGAAAAGAAAUCACAUCCGUUGGAUGCUCAACAUACAUUUUGAUCAUAUCGGGGAGUUUAAUCUUUCAGCCUCCUAUAGACACUUACCACAUUGGGUUUGUUUUCAAGUUGCUGUGAUUGGACUUGCCAUUAAAGGUCGCAGUGCUGAUGGGGCAUGCAGGUCUUUCCCUUUCUAAGAAUCAAAGGCUGGACAGGCAUGGGCUGUGGAGAGUUUUUUUUUUUUCUACUCAGCACAGCUUAUGAAGAAUGAUUUUGAAGUGGGUGUUUUGGCCUUUCAAGGUCUCUAUGCUGGAAGUGUUUAUGAGUGUGGAACUGUCAUACUUCGGAAAAGCACUAGAAAAAGCUUUUAAUAUUCCAAUAACUAUAUAUGUGGUUGCUGUUUGCAGAGUUGUUGUUUCUAACCAAGAUAAUCUCUCCAGAGUUUUAUCUACUGGGCAAAACAAGUGAACCUUGAAUUGCAUUUUACUCUCAGAUUUCAAUUGUAUGGAUAUAACAAAAGGUUACUUGGAGAUACUCUGUUAUCUUUGUAUUGACAUGUCCUUGUCUGAUACUUGUUGCUUGAAAAUCUCCAUUCUCUGUGUGUGUGUUUUCUAAAAGGGUAAAAAUAGAUAGAGUGCCUGUAUGGACAGAGGAAGCAUAAGUGCAAGUUGCACACCAAAAAAAUAAAAAAGGGUAUUGGAAACCAAUGGAAUAACCAGAAGUUUUUACAGAACAGGAAAUAAUUGCACCUUGUUCAAUCAUUUGAAGUCUUUAAAUCAAGAUUGGAGACUGUUCUAACAGCAAUUUCUGCUUCAGCCACAGAGUAUUGGGAUCAGUGAAGGAAUUCUAUGACUUCUAUCAUGCAAGAGGUCAGACGAGGUGAUCUUAAUGGCCGGAAAAUCUGCGAUUCAUAUUCUGAGCAUGGUCAAAUUUUGGAGCUUCCAGAGAGGUUUGCCUUGGAGGGAUGGGCCCACAAAACUAGUCCACUCUGUUCUGUCUUCCAUUCUUGAUACCCCCAAAUGAACUGGGGCCUUUGGAUUGUCUUGUUGGCUAGGGCGCAGUGAAAAUCAGGCCUGUUAUGUAAAUUUCAGUAUUGAUAGCUAAAAGCAAAUUCCACCUUGAUUUUUAGGGGCCUCCCAUGACCACAGGAAUUGUAGCUGCCUGACGCCAGCCGUGAUUCCAAACAAAUCUAAGGAUCAGUUGAUGGCCACAGUGUAACCAACAACUGUGUCUGCUUUUCUCCAUGUGGGAACUGAAGGCUGUGUUAUUGCAGUAUAGCAAAGAGGGGAGACAGGCUCAUAAGCAAGCAAAUAUACCCUUGUUACUGGCCACAAACUCCACACACAGACUGCCAAACCCAGAGCCACAGGAAGCUAGAAAGGCAAGGGAGAGAGGCUUUAGUUACUUGCCUGUAUAAAAACUCCCUGAGCAAAACAAACUCCAUUGCCACAGAGUGGCUUGUGGCAAUAAGAAAAUUCAAGAAAGUCCAGAGCAAUGGAGUAAUUUCAGAGAAUAAAGCUAAAACUGAUGUGUCUUCCUAUCCUUUACUCUGGCUUUCUGUGCAGCCAGAAGUAAAAACGAAGGUCACAAGUAGAACCAUGCACAGAAAUGAGCUCUGUCUAAUCACAGCUCCUGAUCCCUUGCAUGUGCACCUAAUGACCUGGAAAAUGACACCCACCCCCAUCCUUUGCCAUGCUACCAGUUCAACCAGUGAUCUCGAAUCCUGUGCCCCACUGAGUUAAUAGACCCAACCCUCUGGAAUUAGAAUAUGCAUUGUGGGGCUUGCCCACACUGCAACUUUUAAAUUACACUUAGAGGCCCUGUUUACAUGAGGAAAAGAGGUGUGUUUUUAACAAGUUAGCUAAUGUGUUCCAAUCCUAGUGUAGUUUUAACAUGUUAGCGGAUCAGGGUAAACACUAGCCUGAGGUAAACAGUUUUGCCAGCUGUGACAGGGCAAGGUCCAGCUCCUGUCUUCUGCUUUCUGUACACAGACUGUUCAGAGACCAUCCGUUGUUAAACAUCACGGUGUAGUUUAUUUACAUUGCUCUGCUCCCCACCUUUAACCAGGCAGACGCCACACCAUUUACACCCUCAGUUCCUCCUAUGCCGAGGAGAGGGAAGAGAUCUCUUCACCCAGGGAUUCUUCUUGUUUCUGGCUCCAUUAGCCUCUCCAGUACGUCCUUCCUGUGCUGCCUUCUACCCUCUCGUUAAUGGGCUAGGUCGUUAGUCCACCUUAGCCUACUCUGCUCUGCUAAUUAAGGCACAGUCAGGUCCACCCGGGGAGGUGGGGAGGCAAUGAAUUGGUGUUUAUGUGAUCAGGCUGCUGGUUCAGUUGCUGGUUCCCAGCUCUCUGUCACACCAACUCUGGUGAUUUUUAUCACAAGUCUCACAAUAUUUGUUGUCUUUUUUAAAGCCCCAGCUCUUGGAGUCAGCUGAUUAUAUGAGAAUCUCGGAUUUCACUUAAAAAAUCCCCAAAACAUUUCUAGUCCUCAUGGUCACGGAGAAAAGCUAGUUAUCCUAAAAGCCACCAUAAGAGAAAGCAAGUAAAAACAAUCCAAUUUUUUUAAAACCCCAUGAUCUUGUGAUUUUUGCGGAGGCUGACUCAUCACUUGGGAUUGGCAAUACUGGGUUAAUAUCUGUUAGUGUACAGUGAAAGCCGCCCAACAAAACACCUCUUUUUGGCAACCCCAUUUCUUCAUUGAACACUUUUAGGUAACCAUAAAGUAUCUAGUAAAAUGUUGUUUGAUCUUCAGUUAAAAUCCAACCUCUACUGCAGAAACUGAUUUUGCUGUUCCUUAAAGUUUUCACUAGUUAGAUGGAGGACUGAGAGUAGUUUAAUGUUUCCCUACUACAGCAGUAAGCUUGGCUAUCAAAGAAGGACAGACUCUUUUAGGAAGGUGACACAUACAUUUUUUUAAACCUCUGGAGAGUGAAUAGCUGACUAGUUGGGUAUCAGAUACACGUUGAAGUUAUCAUGCCAAAUAUUCAAUGAAUCUUUCAAUAAAAAUGGGAGUUGAUUCCUGAAUAAGUUGCUUCAUGGCAUUACUGAGUGAAGCUCGGACUCUUGCCUCAACUUGCAAACAGAUAAAAUUGUUGGUUGUUAGGUAAAUCAAUUGAAAAGCAAAGUUAUGCAAUUCUAAGUGACAUAAGUAGGGUAACUGACUUGGUGAGAAACACCCAGAUAAAGAAUAUGUUUCAUUCACACAGAGAUUCAAAAUGGAGUCUGCACCAGAGACCAAGAUUAACAGAUGUUAAACCUGGUUGGGCAUUCUUUGAAUACACAGGGCCUGACUCUCGUUUACACUCCGGUCCCUUUACACCACUCUGACAGUGUAAAAAGCCCUUAAAGUGUGUAAAUAUAAUUACAGCAGAGCAGUGUAAAGGGGCCUUUGUGUAAACAGAGAAUCGGGCCCAAAGUGCAUCGGGCAGUUGCCUUGUCUUGGGAAGAAGUUACUGUCAAAUGGCUGUGUGGGAAUCGUACCUUCUUUUUGGAGUAGGGAUCAGUGAGAAUUCCAAUUUGCUCCAAGCCAGGCUGGAUUCGUGUGUGAACCUGAUGCGUUCCACGAUUCGUGACAUCUCUAAUUUUCCUACACUGACACCUACUUCUUUAACUGCCAUUGUGAGUCAGGAACUAUUGGAACAAACCACCUAAUAAAAACCCUUCUAGUGCUUUACAUGUUCAAAAGAAUGCAGAAACAUUAAUCAGUUCUCACAAUCUGAGUAUUCCCCAGCGGUCUCCUAUCAGAAUACUGACACAGUUCCUGAGGUCUCAAGGCAUUGCAACACAAGGUUGUCCGGCAGCUGUCUGAAGAAAUUACAGAGGAAAAUUAUCUCAACAGGGAAAAGGAAACACUGUGGUAAAGCUGAUGUACUGUGAAAUCCUCUUUAAUGGUCGAUGUAGGUAACUCACUUAAAUGUGAAUGGUCAUCACAGCCAGAGUAAUCUGACAACGAACUUCUUAUCUGAGGGACAUGCAUAGGAGCAAACUCUCCAUCUUGCUAAGCAUUUUAAUAACCUAAUAGGUCUGUUGGGUUAUAAAUGGCUUUAAUUGGCUCUCCCACAUGUUGCAACAUUCUUUACCUGAAGCCAGGUGACAUUCAAAAAGAUGCAACGUUAUUUCUUACCUUUGGAAACCUCAGGGAAAUUGAAUAUGAUCCUACCAGCUUCCAUUGGUCUGUAGGAGCCAGGGGCAGCACCAGCAGGGAAUUCCUUUCACAAACUCAUUUUUGAUCCAUGUAUUUGGUUGAAUUAUUGCUAUGAGCUUGAUCCGUGCGUGACUCCCCAUCAUACGCACAUCUGCCCCUGACACCCACCACCUCAGCUUUGUCUAGGUCAGGAAAAUUGUGUAAAUGCUUCUCAUUGUUACUAACAACCGUUCGGCUCCAGGGGCACUAAUGACAUUGGGAGCCCAGCUCGUGGUAGGUCUAAUCAACACAGUGCUUAAAACACCAGCAGCAGCCUGUCUACGCUCCAUCUCCAGACACUGCUAAAAUCAAUGGAACUGAAGCACUGCUCGUAAUGGUGGGAAUUUUUUGCAAACUGUCCCAGUGUAGACAAGGUUUAAGUCAUGCAAACUGGUUGUGGUGAAACCCAGAAUAAAAUUUCACAUCAAUUUUUGUUCUCUUCUAUGUUUCCUCCAUCCUAAGCCUCCCAUAGAAUCAGGUUCUGUCCUGAGUCUAAGUAAAAUAAAUUAAAGGCUAGAUUCUCAGCUGAUGUAAAUUAGUGUUGCUCUAUUGACUACACAAAUUUAACACCAGCUAAAGAUCUGGUUCAAAGUCUUCUGAUUCUCCCUACAGUGCAUAACAUCAGUGAGAGUGAAUAUGUAGUGCAGUGGUAUAAAGUGGCAUUCCAUUGACUGGAUAACAAAUGUCUACUUCAUGCGAAUCCUUUGACAAACCAGCCAGAUAGGCAUGGAUAAACCAGAUUUUGCAGUGUGGUUGCCACUGCAUCCUUCUUGGUAGCCCCUUUUUAAAGUAAAGACUCUUAACGAAUGAGCCCACCAUUUAUUUAUUUAUUUAUUUUAUUUCAAAGCCCAUUCGAACAGCCAGCUAACAGGCUACAUCUAUAAUAGCUAAGGUUGGCAUUAGCACUGAGCUGAACUUGCACACAUAGGCCAUAUAUAACACUCGCUGGGAGUUGAUUGCACUGAUGCAUGAUAACAAAACUUCAUCAGAAUCUGAACAAAACAUAGUGAUUGUUUCCCUCACCUUGAUUUUAUGCUUUUUUUUUUUAAUUGAGUGAAUAGACAAAGCACAAUUCACUUUGUGUUAUUUUUCAGUCUCAUUGGCUGAUGGAUGUGAUUCUUAACUUGAACAAAUUUGAAGUUUUCUAAACCUUCCGUAACGUGGCCUUUGUGAGUUACUACCACAUCUGCAGGAGAAUAUGGUUUCUUUGGGGGAACGGAAAAAUACUUUUUCAUCCUCUUUUUGACUGGAUAAAAUCUAUUCAGUAGGAGCGGUCAAAACUCUUGUCAAAAUGUUUUGGCUAUUGUGAGAAAGAAAGUCUUUGAACCACAUGAAUGUUUUCAUAUCAUUUGAAAUUUUUCGGUUUUAAGAUGAAACAAUGCAAAACCGGAUAAGAGAAAAUAAGUCAUUUUUUUUGUUUUGAAUCUAAACAAAUUUUUUUUUCUUACUUAAUUGAAAUAAAACUUUUUGUUUUGAAUUGUUUUGUGGAAAAAUCAGAAAAUUAAGUGAAAAGUGUUAAAUUCCCACUUUUUGACCAGCCCUGGAAUUCAGCUUUAACUUCACUUCCAGAUCUCAGUAAAGAAUGAAUUGGCAGCAGCCCCAAGUGGAAACACCAUCAUUUGAACCCUUUGAACUGGACAGGCCAAGGUAGUUGACCGUAUACCGCAGGCAACCAUCCUAUGGAGGCAGGGGAUAUGGACUAAGGUCACUCAAUAGGUCUUGCUUUCCUCGGGUUUCUAUUAUUCCGUGCUAAUAAGAGUGGGGCUAUUUUGAAAACCCUAAUUCAUUCAAAUUUGCUAUCUCAUUAGCUUCUACAUAGCAACUCAUACUACUUUCUUGCGGGUAUGUUUACAUUGCACAUGAAAGGUGUGACUGUGACACGGAUAGGCAUAUUCAGGUUAGCUUUAAUCUAGAUUCAAAAUGGGUUACCAAUCAGAGUAGUACCCAGGGUCCCUGGUGGGCUUGUACUCCAGUUGGUAGCCCAUGCUGAUACCUGUGCCACCACAUGUAUGCUGCUAUUGUUAUGCAGGCUAGUUAGAUUACAUCUAACCUUGGUAUGUCUAAUUUGCUACAAUCACACCUUUAGUUUGCAGUGUAGACAUAUCCUGAGGGGAUGGAUGUAUAGAUAGGACCACAUCUUCAGCUGGUGUAAAUUGGUAUAGCUUCAUUUAGGUCAAUAGAGUUAAGCCCGCUGAGACGCUAGCCUUUGGUGUGUAUUAUAGGCAGCUGGUAGCUUGUUGCCUGACACUGCCCAUUAUGAGCAAAGGUAUCAGCAAGUGAAAAUAGGGACUAAGUUUUACUGUUCGAGCUGAAAUUUGCCAAGCGCUGCCAACCUUAACUCCGGCAUUUCCUAACUUUUGAGUGCUUGACUUUUCAAACUUAAUAAUGUUCUUUUAAAAUGUAGGGGGAGGAGGGUGUUGAUACAUAAUUAUUAUUUAAUUAGCACCUUCAGUGUACUUGGCACUAUACAGUUAAAAAAAAGAAUUAAACUGUCCCUGCCCUGACUGACAAUCUUACAGUCUAAAAUCUGUAAUUCACACCCACCCUGCACCUUUCAGUGUGUCUGAGUAUAUGUAUAAUGCCUCACCCAAGUCCUGGCACUUUGCUUGCAGUAACUGAACUAAGCUUCGUUCUCCAUUGGCUCACGUAGGCCUGGUCUGCGCUUUGAAUUCAGGUUGUCAUGGCUUCAUUGCUCAGGGAUGUGAAAAAUCCACAACCUUCGGCAUCAUCACUAUUCCAACCUAACCCCCACCCCCGCAUAGAGGCAGCUACGUUGACUGAAGAAGGGUUCCUACCAGCUAGCUACCAUCGCUCGGAGAGGCGGUAUUCCUACCUUUCCAUCGCUGUAGGAUGUGUAUAUGGGGUUGUGCCAACAUAGCUGUGGUGCUGUAGCUAUGCCAUUAUAGUUCUCAUAGUGUAGACAAGGAUCUGUAAUAUUCUAUACAAGUCCUGGCCCUUACCCUGCUGUAACUGAACUAGAUUCAUUCUCUAUUGUGGCUGCUCUGGCAACCUUUCCUUGUCCUUGUCAAAGCAGUCCUUUUUUCAGUCUCUUUGGCACACCACAGGCAAGCAGCACUUACGCUUCCUGAUAGCCCGCAAUGUUUUAUUUUUGGCAGUUGUCAGGUAGAUGGAAGUAUUAUCCUGAUGUUUCAGCCUCCAAGAUCAUCUUUGGGGACACCUCUAGCCAAGGUCUGGAAUGGUCGAAAUAUCUGCUUGUUUCUUUCCACCUGAUACAAAUAAACCCUUUGAAGGGCAGAUACAAGAGAGGGUUCUAGCCCUCCUGUACCUGAUAGCUUCUGGGCUGCUUCUCCUCUCAGGCUGGUGCCCAUUGAAGGUCCCAGUUACUGAGAUUUUGAGCACUUCACAGCCUUUAAUGCACUUCUCACCACCACACCCUGUGAGGUAGGGCAGUGCUAUUAUCCCCAUGGGAAACUGAGACACAGAGAAGCUAAGUGGCUUGCCCAGGAUGUCUGGUGCAGAGCAGAAAUUGAACCUAUGUCUCCCAAAUUCUAAGAUAGCUCUUAACCACUGGACCACAUUCCCUGUCCUAAGCCAAGAGUACUAUUGAAAUGAAUGGGGUUAUACCAGGUUUGUCUCAGCAGAACCGUGCCCCUCUCUAGAUAUCCCACACCCCCUCAGAAACAUGCAUCCCAAAAGUGGGCUGUUCUCAAGCAGUGGACAGUGAAAUACUGCACAGAUUGCCUUGGUCAUGAUGUAGCUGAGCAAGGGACCUACAAGGAGAAUGUGGGGGUGUAUGCAUCAGGGGCAAGUGAAGUCAUGUGAGGUUGUGAACAGUCCCUGAGCAGCUCUACCACGGGGUCUUAUCGGUGUGAAUUUGUCAGGUGUAACAAGCUGUAUGUUUAUGUGCCACUAGUUGCCUCUCUCUACUUCAAAGCUGGAACAAUCUGCCCUGGAACAGGCUGACCUUUGGCAUAAAUAUUUCUUUUUUCCUAACUCAGGGGUGCUUGACCGAAGAAUUGAGGAAAGCUGAAGCAGUCUUGGUUUUUUGUCCACUUUCUUUGACAACGUAACAAGGCUGCUGUUUUCCUCCUGGCACGAUGUGAGAGAUCAGUGUUACCACUGGAGCAAACGCCCAGGCUGGUGGUGAUCACACCUUAACCUUAAUACAAGAAACACAAAGUCUUGUUUCAGAUACAUAGAAACCAGAGUGAUUUCACCCUGUGUCUGUGUGAAAUUGUGCUUCUGGGGAAUAAAUAAUGUGUAAUCCGAUCAGGCUAAGAUCACAGACGAAUAAAUAUUCAUUGCCUUUUAAUAUGAACCCAGUGCUUAAUUUGUAGAGAGGGGCCAGGGCUCAAACCGAGUACGCUGCCUGGAGGAUGCCAUUUUGCAGAGCAGGCCGCUUCGCCCUCAACGACAUGACCUCUAACUCAUGGUGCAUGGAGGCUGACGUGACAGAAGAGGUAGCUCUGGCAAAAAUUAAGCUCUGCUCAAACGCUUGUUUCAAGGUGGAUAGCUCAGGGGAACGAAAGCCAGAACUCCUGGCUUCUGUUCCUGACUUUUCCACUGACUCAUUUGGUGACUUUGGCCGUGUUACUUUGAGUAAAAUUUUCAAGUGUCUAAGUGACCUAGGAGCCUGGAUAUAAUUUUCAAAAGGGAUUUAGGUACCUUGUCUCAUUAAAAGUCAAUGAGAUGUACACACUUUUGAAAAUGUUAUCCUAUCUCUCCCUUUCCCACAAUUAAAUUAGGUUCAGUUGUUUGUAAAAACACAUUGAGAUCAGCAUAUACAAGGUGCUACCAUAAGUGCUGUAUUUAUAUUUAUAAAUGAAGAGUGCGUGAAGUUUGCUGUUGCAGUUAAUGUCCACUUUGGAGAAUUUCAGUCUUAUCCAUUUAUAAGUUGAGAAAGGAAAAUGAGUGACUUAAAAAAGAAGGUAAGUAAGUAUAUUUAAUCAAGCUUGUUUGGUUUCUCUUCUGGCAACUUCUGAAUAAAGUUCACUUGUGUUUGUACCAGA
This is a long non-coding RNA of Dermochelys coriacea (leatherback sea turtle), 13731 nucleotides long. RefSeq lists it as uncharacterized. NCBI's taxonomy places the organism in Eukaryota, Metazoa, Chordata, Testudines, Dermochelyidae. The transcript has 2 exons. The record is from RefSeq and is a predicted model, not a curated record.